CCCUUAGAUGUUCUGGGCCGCACGCGCGCUACACUGACGAAGUCAGCGAGCAUGUCCUACGCCGACAGGUGCGGGGAAUCUUGUCAAACUUCGUCGUGAUGGGGAUUGAUUAUUGAAAUUCUUGAUCAUCAACGAGGAAUUCCUAGUAAGCGCAAGUCAGCAGCUUGCGUUGAUUACGUCCCUGCCCUUUGUACACACCGCCCGUCGCUACUACCGAUUGGAUGGUUUAGUGAGACCCACGGAUUGGUCCCAGCAUGGCGGGUUACCGCCGCGCUGGCGCGCCGAGAAGUCGGUCGAACUUGAUUAUCUAGAGGAAGUAAAAGUCGUAACA
This 331-nucleotide ribosomal RNA is filed under the name uncultured eukaryote. RNAcentral describes it as "partial 18S ribosomal RNA". It matches the Rfam family "Eukaryotic small subunit ribosomal RNA", at positions 1470 to 1796 of the family's 1831-position model. The record is from RNAcentral.